CCCUCGAUGGUGUAGUUGGUAUCACAACAGGCUGUAAUAGUCUUCAGAAGCUCCAAACUUCUGAGUUUAAAAUCGUAACCUGCAGGUCACCAGUUCGAAUCUGGUUCGAGGGA
This 113-nucleotide transfer RNA is filed under the name Orbilia oligospora ATCC 24927. Its description in RNAcentral is "Arthrobotrys oligospora ATCC 24927 tRNA". It matches the Rfam family "tRNA". Rfam says of the family: Transfer RNA (tRNA) molecules are approximately 80 nucleotides in length. The record is from Rfam by way of RNAcentral. Lineage: Eukaryota; Fungi; Ascomycota; Orbiliomycetes; Orbiliales; Orbiliaceae.